Molecule: ribosomal RNA, 510 nt
Filed under: uncultured bacterium
Lineage: Bacteria
Description: partial 16S ribosomal RNA
Rfam family: Bacterial small subunit ribosomal RNA
Source: RNAcentral
GACGAACGCUGGCGGCGUGCUUAACACAUGCAAGUCGAACGAAGAGCGAUGGACGCUUGCUUCUAUCAAUCUUAGUGGCGAACGGGUGAGUAACGCGUAAUCAACCUGCCCUUCAGAGGGGGACUACAGUUGGAAACGACUGCUAAUACCGCAUACUAUCCCCUCUCGGCAUCGGGACUGGAUGAAAGCUGGCCUCUAUUUAUAAGCUCUCCCUGAAGGACGGUAUUGCGUCUGAUUAGCGAGUUGGUGGGGUACCGGCCCACAAAGGCGAUGAUCAGUAGCCGGUCUGAGAGGAUGAACGGCAACACUGGGACUGAGACACGGCCAAGACUACUACGGGAGGCAGCAGUGGGGAAUCUUCCGGAAUGGACGAAAGUCUGACGGAGCAACGCCGCGUGAGUGAUGACGGCAGUCGGGUUGUAAAGCUCUGUUAAUCGGGACGAAUGGUUCUUGUGCGAAUAGGGCGAGGAUUUGACGGUACCGGAAUAGAAAGCCACGGCUAACUACGUG